GAUGAACGCUGGCGGCGUGCCUAAUACAUGCAAGUCGAGCGAACAGACGAGGAGCUUGCUCCUCUGACGUUAGCGGCGGACGGGUGAGUAACACGUGGAUAACCUACCUAUAAGACUGGGAUAACUUCGGGAAACCGGAGCUAAUACCGGAUAAUAUAUUGAACCGCAUGGUUCAAUAGUGAAAGACGGUUUUGCUGUCACUUAUAGAUGGUUCCGCGCCGCAUUAGCUAGUUGGUAAGGUAACGGCUUACCAAGGCAACGAGGCGUAGCCGACCUGAGAGGGUGAUCGGCCACACUGGAACGGAGACACGGUCCAGACUCCUACGGGAGGCAGCAGUAGGGAAUCUUCCGCAAUGGGCGAAAGCUUGACGGAGCAACGCCGCGUGAGUGAUGAAGGUCUUCGGAUCGUAAAACUCUGUUAUUAGGGAAGAACAAAUGUGUAAGUAACUAUGCACGUCUUGACGGUACCUAAUCAGAAAGCCACGGCUAACUACGUG
RNAcentral lists this ribosomal RNA (497 nucleotides) under uncultured bacterium. Its description in RNAcentral is "partial 16S ribosomal RNA". It matches the Rfam family "Bacterial small subunit ribosomal RNA", at positions 28 to 507 of the family's 1533-position model. The record is from RNAcentral.